UGGGGCAGCCUUCCUUCCACACCUCUGUCCUGAGCGGGCAGACGGAGCGCCUGUCCACAUGGGGCACAACACCUCACAGGGUUUUGUUUUUGUUUUCUAUUUGCAUUAAUUUUUUUUCAAUUGAAGAAUAACAUGAUACAGAAAAGUGAGUGAAAUAUAAAAGCACAGCUCAACAAACUGCACGAAAGGUGAGCUCCAUUUAACUACUGCUAAGAUAGGGAAGAGGCUCCCAGAAAUCUCAGCGCAGUUUGGCUGUGAUCUUCCUUCUCCUGAAAGGUAAGUGCUGUCCUGAUUUUUCAUGGUCUGCCUCCGUUUUGUGGCUUUUGGACCAAACAUGGUGAUGCACAGGGUUUGCGUGUUUUUGGUCCAGCGUCUUCGUCCGAGGCUGUGAUGACAAGAUUCACCCCAUCGUGGUGAUUUGCUGCAGUUCGUUCUCUCAGGAGGCUCUGUGCAUCUCCUAACACGGGUACAGCAGGAAGUACUCAGCCCUUCUCCUGGCUGAAGGGUAUUUGCUUCACUCCCAGGCUCUGCCUCUUAGGAACAUGUGUGUCAGGUCCAAGCAGAGAGUUAGCACAGACCCCUUGAGGGGUCUGUGAUAAGGGGCUCUUUUAUGGGCCUUGGCCUUCAGCUCUUGUGGAGCUGGUAACAUGUUGUCAGAAAGGGCUGUUCCUUCUGUACCUGGUGUCGGCCAGAUAGGCAGUUGGGAAGGACAGGUGGACAGGACUUGUGGACAAGGAUGACAGGAAUCUGGACGUAUCAUCUGGGAUGAACUCAGACCCAAGAGCUUUCUCAUCAUCUCCAAGCCUCCAGCUUUGACAUUCAGUGGUGGUGGGAGACAUGGGGCCCUUGUCCUGGGCUCACACCUCCCUGGCUGUGAACACAGAGGGCAAGGGAUGAGGGCUGACCGGAGCUGGAGGGGCUGCUGCCGUGGUAACGAAGUGAGCCGCUGACCUGAGUGGAAAGUGUCCUUUAGGACCUGCCUCCCUUUUCUUGUGGGUGUUUUGGGGGCUCCUUUGCAGGGUGGGUAGGAUCCUUUUACUCGUUUAGUGUGUUGCAAACAUCUUACCACAUGGCUUAUGUUUCCAUGAACUUGAGGUUGUGUUUGGUGAACAGUUCCUAAUUGUACUGUCACUCAAUCUAUCAGGCUUUCCCUCUGCAGAUAGUUUAUACAUCUUGUUUAGGAACUCUGUUUCUAUUCUGAGGUCAUGACAAUAUUUUUUGCUAUGAUCACGUAGAGGUUUUAUUGUUUAGACUUUCGCAGUUUCACCACUUGAGAUUGUACGGUGUGAGGCAGGGAUCCAGUUCACUUUUCCCCACAUGGGAUGUGAAAGGCCAGACCACUUACUGGUCCUUCCUCCACGGUUCUUCAGCAUCACACUUGUCAAAACCAACACCUGGUUAUAGAAGGGCCUGUUUCUGAGUCCUAAUUCUGGUCCACUGGUUUGUUUAUCUAUUCUUGUUUUAACAGUGCACUCUAAUGUAGAUUCAACCAACUGCAGAUCCUGCGGCUCUAUAGUAUAUACUGCCGAAAAGACCCAUGUGUAAGCAGACUGGCACAGUUUAAAACUGUGUUGUUCAAGGGCCAGCUGUGUUUUCUGCAUUUUCCCGCUUUACAAUGCCUACAUCCCUCAUCAUAACCACAGCUCUCACAGUCACUCCAUGGCAGACACCAGCCCUUUUCCCUGGCUUUUCCCUGUUGGUCUGGUAUAGUUUGAUUAAACUUUUAGAUGGCUGGAUUUUGCUGGAAGCUAUAUUUUUAAAAAGAAGGGCUCUUGGGUAUUUUAUAAUCUCCUUAAUUUCAUGCUUACACUGUACUUUUUGCUCUCAUAUUUGAAUGAAAUCUUGCCUGUGUCCUACUUUUCCUCACAACUGUGCAGUUGCUGAGUCAUUAUUCUGCUGUUUUCUGCCUAUGGUAAAGUCUGAGAUUAGCCUCAUUUUAUGUCCUUGUAGAUGAUUUGAUUUUUUAAAAUUUAUAUUCCUUAAAUAUUCUUUCUAAUCUCCUAACUGGUGUGUUCAUCUGGGUUAUUUUGGGGGGCUUAAUAUGGGAAUAAAACAGUUUAAAAUAAGGUUUAGGGUUUACACGGUGUCCAGAGGAGCUGGGGAGGGAGGAUCUGGAAGGUUCUGUCCCAAGGAGUUUUGCCCGAAGCUCUGGAGCAGGUGAAGCAGCCGAGCUGUCAGAGAGUUCAAGAAGACGCCAGGGCCAGUGGCAGCGACCAUGAUGAGAGUGCCCACGGGGUGCCUGCAGGAGCUGGCCAGUGGGAGGGCGUCUCUAGACAGUCGUCUCCACCCCCCCCACCUCCAGCUCUGCACAUUGCACACUCCCUGGCCUGGACUCAGGGCAAAGGCCAGGGAAGGGGACCCUGGGAGACAUAGUUCCCAGUUUAGGAGGCAAUUGGGAUGGGCCCAGUUGACAAAGGCAACAGUUAUUUCCUUGGUGUCAGGUGUUACGUAUGCACAUAUCCAGUGUUCCUGGAACAUCCUCUGUUGAUCGAAAAAAUCUAGAUCUUUUUUAUUUCAAGGAAAAUUUCAUGCAUUGUAAUUUUGAGGACAUUUUUUGCUCAAUUUGUUGGUGGUCUACUUCAGGGCACCAAUUAUCCCAUGUUGGACUUUCAUCCUCUGCCUCUGUGGGCAGCUGUCUGUCUGUCUUCAAGCUUUCCCUCUAGUCCCUUAUAGGAUUUUCAGUGUUUUGUAUUAUGUUCCAACUAUUUCCAAAAAGAUGUUCUUUGGCCUGUAAUUGUUUUCACUAUAUACACAGAGUUCCCUUUCAAUUAGUCAGUGACAUAAUCCUGAAAGUUGAAAGAAAAGUGUACCAGCCAAACUGGUUUGAAUUAAAAUAGUAAAGCAAUAGGAACAUUUACAAAGUAUAUGCUUAUCUAAAAAUUAGGGCAUUAUUGCUGAGGAAGAAGCGAGGAGCAGCCUUUGAGGGAAGAGAACUAGUAGGUUCUACCUCGUUGUGAGUUCUUAAGUAGGAAUGGAAUGCUUAGAUUCGGGUUCCACACACCUACGCUGCAGUCCCGACCUGACCCUGCAUGCUGUGGUCCUGUCAGGGCCACUCAGGGAAGCUUCAAACAAGGUCCGUCUUCUCAGAGAACUCAUGGAAGCUCAAGGCUGAAAGUGACCCAACAGAAGGUGAAGUGAGAGAGGGCAGGUGGGGCUCAGUGACCUGAGGACGGUCUGCACUCUGGGGGGUGAGACAAUGCCAGGAAUUGGAUGCUGUUGAUAUUUCAUCGCUUUGGGGGAUAAAUUUCCAGUGAUUCUCGGCCUCUGAGAAGAAGGAAAUUCUAAUGAUUCCUUCUCAUUUGUGGAAUGUUCUGGGUUUUGUAAUUGUUUGGCUUUUAAUAAAACUGUAAUCUUUAAGGGAUGCGGUGCGUAUUGAAUGGAACUGAUUGAAAUAGCUUCUGUUGGAGAAUCACACAAUGUCACUCCCUCAUUUGGAAGGGCAAGAGGUGCCAAUCAAACCAGUUUACAAGAAUACAUUUGCUUUAUCCACCCAUUUACUGAGUGUGCUGAAGGAAAAAUCCAUUCAAAUGAAUACCUAAUGCAGGGCUCAGCGUGUCUGGUUACGUGCGGAACUCCAGCCACACGUUUCUGAAAUUUCCUUUGAAAUCCCAAGGACAUCAUUUAGCUUAGAAAUGCAUUAUUAAUGUUCCAAUUAAUAUAAAAUUCUCUGUUGUAUUUUUGGUGACUGAAUGAGAACCGAUAAAUCUUAUAAAUUACAAUGCAAGUUGCAGCAAAAAUGCUUUAGAACCUUUUCCGCUCUCGAGGUACAAGCUGCUUUAUCGUUCUGCCUGCUCACCGUUAGUUUUCCUUGCUUCCUUUGUUACUCAGCGUAGGUGCAUGUUUUCUGAAUUUAAGCUGAGUUGUGACCAGACACCUCUUGAUGAAGCUCCACAGUUCCUGCUGCAAACGGUGGCGUGGCUCCGGGGAUGGUCCCGAUUAGGACCUGCGGGUUCCCGGAGCAGCUUUCAAGACUGCUCACGGUGAGGCCAAAUAUGUGCACAAUUCCCCCCAAUGUGCAAAUUGCACACGACUGAGCAUUCACAGAUGCGGUGUGAAUACCCCUUCUGUUCUGCUAGAGGCUGAAGAUUCGUAAACCACAGAACCGAGGAUUUCACUGCAGCACACAGGCUUUCUGAAGGCACGGAAGGCAUGACGAGAAAGAGACUGCGGUUGACUUAACAAACAUAGAAUUCACGCUCCAAAUAGAGCUUUCUUCAGAACAACCACUCCUGACCCCAUCUGUGCGUUUGGUCAAGAGGAACGUCCGUUGCUCAAAGACACGACUUGGACGUGGAGCUGCCGCCCGUGUCCAUCGCUGCGGGCAGAGCCCCUUGGGCCCGGGGCGACGCGUUGUGUGAUGGGAGGGGCCCCGGGGACCCGCUGCGCUGAGCAGGGCGCGUUGAAGCUGCUGGGCCGCUGGGCUGAGUUCAGGGCUGUCGUGAGCGAGGGGCCUGGUUUCCAGUGGCUCUGAGGACAGCUCCCGAGGAGGCGCCCGGAGAGGCUUCGGUUAGAGGGGAGAAAGGGGAAAACCGCACGGCUUCCGAGGACCAAGCGUUCACAUGUUUAAAUCAGUGUGUUUGUUUAAACCUGUUAGUCUCCUUGCUUCACAAUCAUAUCUUUUUUAUUAAUUUAGUUUUGAUUGAAGUAUGGUUGAUUUACAAUGUUGUGUUAAUCUCUGCUGUACAGCAGAGCGGCUCAGUUAUACACACACAUACAUUCUUUUUCAUAUUCUUUCCCAUCACGGUUUAUUACAGGAACGUGAAUGCAGUUCCCUGGGGCAUGCAGUAGGACCUUCUUGUUUAUCCAUCCUGUAUAUACCAGUUUGCAUCUGCUCGUCCCAAGCUCCCAAUCCCUCCCUCCCCCACCCUUGGCGACCACGAGUCUGUUCUCUGUGUGAGUCGGAUUCUGUUUCGUAGGCCCAGGUCUCCUCUCCAUGGUGACAGUGAGCACUGAUUGGGAAAAGAACUACCAGUAUUUGGUCAUCAAUGAUACGCCGGCAAAUACACCUGAGUAUUCACCAUAUUCUCAGAUGGAUAAACUUCGUAUGUGCCUUGUUCUAUAUGCUAGAACUUUCCAGGAUGAUUUACAAAGUAAGCCCUAAUUCCCAGGUCUUUACCUUUGUGUGUCAUGUACGAUGACUGUUUUAACCCAGUGGCUUUCAGCAAGUGUGAAGCAUUAUUGAUAUUAAAAAGCCUUGGAUAAAACUCCUGUUUCUAACGUUGGCUCCUUACAGCACGUCACAUCUCUUACCACUUCGUUGCCGGUGGCUUCAGAACUUGCGUUUAUCUUUGGGAGAUUUGAAUAAAAAAGGAACCUUUGUGGCACCAGCCACACAGAUGGAGAAACACAGCCAGGCUUCCCUCCAAAGGCUCACAAAGCUUGGAAGAAAUUCUUUCUUUAGGAGCAUCUAGACAAAACAUGAUAGAUACGACAAAGUUUUAAAAAUACCAAAUGAAACAAACAAAAAGACGGAAUAUCUGAGGGAAGAAGCAAAAGUACAGAAAUUUCUGCAAUGUUUCCAGCUGCUUUAAACAUUUUUUUUUAAGUUGAAAUCUUUAUCCAUAAUUCUUGAGCUUAUACUAAAUCACAGAACCAGAAUCUAUGCCUGGCCCCCUGGUUCCACUCAGGCAGCUCCCAAGUUGCCCGUUGGGGUCCUCACCUGUCCUGCAUGCGUGGCCUCUAGAAGAUGCUCAGGACACGCGGCCAAACCAAGAAAAUGGAGACAGAAGAGGAAAAAUACGUGGUUCUCACAAGAUGCAAAUGCAUAUGAAGCCACGUAAAAUACCCGCGUGGACAGAGGUAUUGAUUGUGUAGAGAUAGAAGGUUGUGUAGCAUCUUUGCCAAAGAUAUGCAGUGUGAUCUUCCAUCGUUUCUAGAUUAUAUAUUUCAAGAUGAUACUGGGCUAAGAUUGGCUGUUUUUGAAGCAACAAAGCUUAUCAAGGAAGCGUGUUUACAGUUUAAAGUGUGCGAAGAAAGUGGGGGGUUUGGAGAGGUGGACGUGGCGAUUUACUGGCAUUGGGAGUGGACACGGGGAAGCAUGGCAACGAGGAGGGCAUAAUCCCCCAACAUCCGCCUCUGCCUGCCAGUUUGGGGCAGUUGACGGCGCUGCCUGCCGGACACACAUGUGGCCAGUGUGUCUCUGCGGCUCUGAGCGUCUGAGCCACUGUGGCAAAUCACCAAGUGCUGGCCGAACAACGGCAGCAAAGGAUACUUUUGUUUUCUUUUUCCGUUUGGCGCGUGAGAAAGCCUUCUCCUCUUUCCUGCUUAAAUAUACACAAAGGACUCAGUAUACUUAGAGUGUUAACACCCCGAAAGGGAAACUGGGAAUUUUAAAGGAGUUUAAUCUGACAACUGAUGCUCUAGUUAAUGCCUAAAUGAAUGCCUGAUUAGCUCCACAUUUUCCAGGAAAUCACAGCAUUUUGCAUCAUGACAUAAUUUGAGAUUACGUAUCAUUUUAUUUUAUCUCAAAGCAGCACACACAUAAAAGCUAAGCGUCUCCCUGCUGGCACUUGUUCCUCCUCUAGCAUGUCUGGACUGGCAAUUUGGCUCAGUGAUAGGUAGCAAAAAAACCGUCGUUGCAAAAGAGGGAACUGUGCUUUAGUUUUGUAAGACUUUUUAGUGGUUUGGGUUAUGAAGAUGUCGGACGGCGGCCGUGCCGGAGUCGGGUGCUCACCACGUCUGUUCAGAGAACUCGGGCACAUCUCUGUGCUGCCCCGUCGUUAUUUUUAAAGGGUGACGGGAAAUCCAUUCGUCUGAAAACCUUUUCUUGACGUGCUAACAAGGACGUCGACUGGUAGCCAUUCAACGGCGGCUCCGAUGAUGUGGACGCCCGCCCGUGAGGGGACGAGGGGCUCACUGGGGACGGUGGCCUCGUGACGCACGGCCGCAGGGUCGGUUUCCCAGACCGGAGGCUGCUCUUCGUUUUCUCUGGGCUUUCCUUCUGAAAAUCUGGGUUGCAGAUAUGCUCAAGGGAGGCGGCAUCGUUGAGACCGUCUCUGCCAGCACGUCGUCCUGGUGGCGCAGACGCUGCAGCCCCCGGGGAAGGCAGAGGCAGGAGGUCUGAACUGGGGCGCGUCCCCCCGCAAGUCACGAGGUUCUGUCCCCUCGUGGGCCUGGUGUCC
Long non-coding RNA from Hippopotamus amphibius kiboko, 7121 nucleotides. RefSeq lists it as uncharacterized. NCBI's taxonomy places the organism in Eukaryota, Metazoa, Chordata, Mammalia, Artiodactyla, Hippopotamidae. The transcript is spliced from 3 exons. The record is from RefSeq and is a predicted model, not a curated record.